Molecule: signal recognition particle RNA, 298 nt
Filed under: Cebus imitator (Panamanian white-faced capuchin)
Lineage: Eukaryota; Metazoa; Chordata; Mammalia; Primates; Cebidae
Description: Metazoan signal recognition particle RNA (ENSCCAG00000009956.1)
Rfam family: Metazoan signal recognition particle RNA
About the family: The signal recognition particle (SRP) is a universally conserved ribonucleoprotein. It is involved in the co-translational targeting of proteins to membranes.
Source: RNAcentral
GCCGAUUGCGGUGGCGUGUGCCUGUAGUCCCAGCUACUUGGGAGGCUGAGGUGGGAGGACUGCUUGAACUCAGGAGUUCUGGGCUGUAGUGUGCUAUGCCAAUCAGGUGUCCGCACUAAGUUCUGCAUCAAUUUGGUGACCUCCCGGGAGUGGGGGACCACCAGGUUGCCUAAGGAGGGGUUAAGCAGCCCAGGUUGGAAACAGAGCAGGUCAAAACUCCCGUGCUGAUCAGUAGUGGGAUCACGCCUGUGAAUAGCCACUGCACUCCAGCCUGGGCAACAUAGCAGACCUCAUCUCU